This 406-nucleotide ribosomal RNA is filed under the name uncultured bacterium. Its description in RNAcentral is "partial 16S ribosomal RNA". It matches the Rfam family "Bacterial small subunit ribosomal RNA", at positions 28 to 526 of the family's 1533-position model. The record is from RNAcentral.
GAUGAACGCUAGCUACAGGCUUAACACAUGCAAGUCGAGGGACCGGCGCACGGGUGAGUAAUACGUAUCCAACCUGCCCUUUACUCGGGGAUAGCCUUUCGAAAGAGAGAUUAAUACCCGAUAUAAAGGAUGGGGAUGGGUUCCAUUAGGUUGUGGGUAAGGUAACGGCCCACCAAGCCUUCGAUGGAUAGGGGUUCUGAGAGGAAGGUCCCCCGCAUUGGAACUGAGACACGGUCCCAAAUGCGACGGGAGGCUGCAGAAAGGAAUAUUGGUCAAUGGGCGCUAGCCUGAACCAGCCAAGUAGCGUGAAGGAGGCAGGCGUAGGGGUCGUAAACUUCUUGGAUAGAAGAAGAUGUAUUAUAAGAAUAAGGAUCGGCUAACUCCGUGCCAGCAGCCGCGGUAAUAC